RNAcentral lists this long non-coding RNA (398 nucleotides) under Homo sapiens (human). RNAcentral's name for it is "HSALNT0049551". The record is from RNAcentral. Lineage: Eukaryota; Metazoa; Chordata; Mammalia; Primates; Hominidae.
CCCAGUUGAAACUAAUAUACCCUAAAAAGAAAAAGAGACUAGAUUUCAUGGGAGAAACAACAUUUUUAGGACACGGGAGUGGAACAUGGAUUUUGUUCCAACAGUGCUUCCCACACUGGAGUCUGCAGAAGAGUUGAUGCUCACUGUGGUGCUAUGCGAAACAGUGUAUUGGCUACAAGGAUCCUUUGCGUGUGAGUGGUAGUGACAGUGGGGAAGCCAUCUGUUGAUGGGUCCCAGAAGACUGCUCAACAGAACCAAGUUCAGGAAAUUCUGCAUUGGACUAAUACCAGUCCCAGAGGGUACAGGACGAUGCAGUCUCUCAGAAUCACUGGGCAUGUUCUUCCCGGAUCUGAUAGAAGAUGGUUUCCCAGGAGGGAACAGCCACAGUCAGCCUUGAA